GACGGAGGGUGCAAGCGUUGUUCGGAAUUACUGGGCGUAAAGCGUACGUAGGCGGUUGAUUAAGUCAAAUGUAAAAGCCCGGGGCUCAACCCCGUGGUCGCACUUGAUACUGGUCGACUAGAGGGCGAUAGAGGAAAGCGGAAUUCCGAGUGUAGCGGUGAAAUGCGUAGAUAUUCGGAGGAACAUCGGUAGCGAAAGCGGCUUUCUGGGUCGCUCCUGACGCUGAGGUACGAAAGCGUGGGUAGCAAACGGGAUUAGAUACCCCGGUAGUCCACGCCGUAAACGAUGGAUACUAGGUGUAGCGGGUAUCGACCCCUGCUGUGCCGUAGCUAACGCGUUAAGUAUCCCGCCUGGGGAGUACGCACGCAAGUGUGAA
This 376-nucleotide ribosomal RNA is filed under the name uncultured bacterium. RNAcentral describes it as "bacterial SSU rRNA". It matches the Rfam family "Bacterial small subunit ribosomal RNA", at positions 524 to 898 of the family's 1533-position model. The record is from RNAcentral.